CGAUUAGCAGUGAGGAAUAUUGGUCAAUGGGCGCAAGCCUGAACCAGCCAUCCCGCGUGCAGGAUGACGGCCCUAUGGGUUGUAAACUGCUUUUAUACACCAAGAAAAACACCCACGUGUGGGUGCCCGACGGUA
This 135-nucleotide ribosomal RNA is filed under the name uncultured bacterium. RNAcentral describes it as "partial 16S ribosomal RNA". It matches the Rfam family "Bacterial small subunit ribosomal RNA", at positions 345 to 477 of the family's 1533-position model. The record is from RNAcentral.